GGCUGAAGACAACAAAUUACUGUUAAUACACUUAGAAUUUUGAGAUAUAUACGUAAUGCUGCCUCCUCGCGCUUCGUCACCAUUCUAUUGUGUUGCUACUUGAUUCCACUCCUCCAUCAUCGUUCGUCAAAGCAUUAAGGUUAGUAUAGCAUUCUAAUUUUAAUUCCCGUUCGGCGGCUCCAGUCAAUUUAUGAUUUUAGCGAAUUUGUGAUUUGUGAAAAUGUGAUUUGUCAAUUGUAAAUUUGUUGAUGGAUAAUUAAUUUUUGAUUUGUUCUAUUAUAGUUGAUGAAUCUCGAGACAUUUCAAUGAAAAAGCAAAUGUCAGUUGUUAUUCAUUAUGUGAAGAAUGGGCGUGUAUUGGAACAUUUUAUUGGUGUUACGCAUGUUUCAAGUACCACAGCUGUUGCACUUAAGGCUGCAAUUGAUCAAUUUCAAAUCACUUAUUUUGAAAGAAAACCUAAGUGCUUACUACAUUCAUUGCUUUGCUCAUCAACUUCAACUAGCACUUGUAGCUGUGGUACAAAAAAUCCAAAAAUUAAAGUUUUCUUCACUUUAGUACACAGAUUGGUGAAUAUUGUUGGAGGAUUUGCUAAGUGAAGUGAUCUUAUUCGAGAGAAACAAAGACUUAAAAUUCUUGAAGCACUUAGUGUCGGUGACAUAUCAAGCAGACGAGGUCUCAACCAAGAAACUACUCUUAAGCGUUUUGGUGAUACUCGUUGGGGCUCUCAUUACCGUUGUUUGAUAAACUUGAUUCUCAUGUUUUCAGCCACCGUUGAUGUUAUUGAAGAGAUUACUACUGAUA
Molecule: long non-coding RNA, 801 nt
Organism: Olea europaea var. sylvestris
Lineage: Eukaryota; Viridiplantae; Streptophyta; Magnoliopsida; Lamiales; Oleaceae
Exons: 2
Source: RefSeq, a predicted model, not a curated record